GACGAACGCUGGCGGCGUGCUUAACACAUGCAAGUCGAACGGAAAGGCCCGGCGUUUGUGGGUUUCUCGAUUGGCGAACGGGUGAGUAACACGUGAGGAACCUGCCCUUGACAGUGUGAUAACUUCAGGGAACUGGGGCGAAUAUCGGGUAGGAUCUCCUGCUGCGUGUGGUGGGUUGGAAAGAUUCGGCGGUUGGGGAUGGACUCGAGGCUUAUCAGCUUGUUGGUGGGGUAGUGGCUUACCAAGGCUUUGACGGGUAGCCGGCCUGAGAGGGUGACCGGCCACAUUGGGACUGAGAUACGGCGCAGAAUCCUACGGGAGGCAGCAGUGGAGAAUAUUGCACAAUGGGCGGAAGCCUGAUGCAGAAACGCCGCGUGCGGGAUGACGGCCUUCGGGUUGUAAACCGAUUUCGCCUGUGACGAAGCGUGAGUGACGGUAAUGAGUAAAGAAGCAACGGCUAACUACGUG
RNAcentral lists this ribosomal RNA (468 nucleotides) under uncultured bacterium. Its description in RNAcentral is "partial 16S ribosomal RNA". It matches the Rfam family "Bacterial small subunit ribosomal RNA", at positions 28 to 507 of the family's 1533-position model. The record is from RNAcentral.